RNAcentral lists this ribosomal RNA (496 nucleotides) under uncultured bacterium. RNAcentral's name for it is "partial 16S ribosomal RNA". It matches the Rfam family "Bacterial small subunit ribosomal RNA", at positions 28 to 506 of the family's 1533-position model. The record is from RNAcentral.
GAUGAACGCUGGCGGCGUGCCUAAUACAUGCAAGUCGAGCGAACAGACGAGGAUCUUGCUCCUCUUACGUUAGCGGCGGACGGGUGAUUAACACGUGUAUAACCUACCUAUAAGACUGGGAUAACUUCGCGAAACCGGAUCUAAUACCGGAUAAUAUAUUGAACCGCAUGGUUCAAUAGUGAAAGACGGUUUUGCUGUCACUUAGAGAGAGAUCCGCGCGGCAUUAGCUAGUUGGUAAGGUAACGGCUUACCAAGGCAACGAUGCGUAGCCGACCUGAGAGAGUGAUAGGCAACAUUGAAACUGAGAAACGGUCCAGACUCCUACGGGAGGCAGCAGUAGGGAAACUGCAGCAAUGGGCGAAGGCCUGACGGAGCAACGCGGCGUGGGUGAUGAAGGUCUUCGAAUCGUAAACCUCUGUUAUUAGGGAAGAACAAAUGUGUAAGUAACUAUGCACGUCUGGACGGUACCUAAGCAGAAAGACACGGCUAACUCCGU